UACGAAGGGGGCUAGCGUUGCUCGGAAUCACUGGGCGUAAAGCGCACGUAGGCGGAUUGUUAAGUCAGGGGUGAAAUCCUGGAGCUCAACUCCAGAACUGCCUUUGAGACUGCAUCGCUUGAAUACAGGAGAGGUGAGUGGAAUUCCGAGUGUAGAGGUGAAAUUCGUAGAUAUUCGGAAGAACACCAGUGGCGAAGGCGGCUCACUGGACUGGUAUUGACGCUGAGGUGCGAAAGCGUGGGGAGCAAACAGG
RNAcentral lists this ribosomal RNA (253 nucleotides) under uncultured bacterium. RNAcentral describes it as "partial 16S ribosomal RNA". It matches the Rfam family "Bacterial small subunit ribosomal RNA", at positions 524 to 776 of the family's 1533-position model. The record is from RNAcentral.